AGCGAACGCUGGCGGCAGGCUUAACACAUGCAAGUCGAGCGGGCAUCCUUGUGGUGUCCGCGGCAGACGGGUGAGUAACGCGUGUGAACGUGCCCUUCGGUUCGGAAUAACUCAGGGAAACUUGAGCUAAUACCGGAUACGUGCGAGAGCAGAAAGGUUUAUCUGCCGAAGGAUCGGCCCGCGUCUGAUUAGCUAGUUGGUGAGGUUAUGGCUCACCAAGGCGACGAUCAGUAGCUGGUCUGAGAGGAUGAUCAGCCACACUGGGACUGAGACACGGCCCAGACUCCUACGGGAGGCAGCAGUGGGGAAUAUUGGACAAUGGGGGCAACCCUGAUCCAGCCAUGCCGCGUGAGUGAUGACGGCCUUAGGGUUGUAAAGCUCUUUUCUCCGGGACGAUAAUGACGGUACCGGAGGAAUAAGCCCCGGCUAACUUCGUG
Molecule: ribosomal RNA, 437 nt
Filed under: uncultured bacterium
Lineage: Bacteria
Description: partial 16S ribosomal RNA
Rfam family: Bacterial small subunit ribosomal RNA
Source: RNAcentral